AAUUAUUGGGCUUAAAGUGUCCGUAGCGGAUUGGAAAGUCCUGGUAAAAUCGGGUAGCUUAACUAUCCGUAUGCUAGGAAUACUAUCAUUCUAGAGGGCGGGAAAGGUCUGAGGUACUACAGGGGUAGGGGUGAAAUCUUAUAAUCCUUGUAGGACCACCAGUGGCGAAGGCGUCAGACUGGAACGCGCCUGACGGUGAGGGACGAGAGCCAGGGGAGCGAACCGGAUUAGAUACCCGGGUAGUCCUGGCCGUAAACGAUGCAUACUAGGUGAUGGUAUGGCCAUGAGCCAUAUCAGUGCCGUAGGGAAACCGUUAAGUGUGCCGCCUGGGAAGUACGGUCGCAAGGCUAAAACUUAAAGGAAUUGGCGGGGGAGCACCACAAGGGGUGAAGCCUGCGGUUCAAUUGGACUCAACGCCGGGAAACUUACCAGGGGAGACAGCAGAAUGAGGGUCAGGUUGACGACCUUACCUAACGAGCUGAGAGGAGGUGCAUGUCCGUCGCCAGUUCGUGCUGUGAGGUAUCCUGUUAAGUCAGGCAACGAACGAGAUCCGCACCUUUAUUUGCCAGCAAGAGGUUACGACCUCGUUGGGAACACUAAAGGGACCGCCGUCGAUAAGACGGAGGAAGGAGCGGGCAAAGGCAGGUCAGUAUGCCCCGAAACCCCUGGGCUACACGCGGGCGGCAAUGGUAUGAACAAUGGGCUGUGACUCCGAAAGGAGAAACCAAUCCCGAAAUCAUAUCACAGUGGGGAUUGUCGGCUGUAACCCGCUGACAUGAACGUGGAAUCCCUAGUAAUCGU
This 801-nucleotide ribosomal RNA is filed under the name uncultured euryarchaeote. Its description in RNAcentral is "bacterial SSU rRNA". It matches the Rfam family "Archaeal small subunit ribosomal RNA", at positions 497 to 1301 of the family's 1478-position model. Lineage: Archaea; Methanobacteriati; Methanobacteriota. The record is from RNAcentral.